AUUUCUUACUUUUUUUUCAAUAAGUAAAUGUGUUACACCGUUGAGAUACUUUGAAUAAACUAAAGUACAUAUAAACUAAAAUAUUAUCUCAAGAUAUCUUUCAAAUUGUUGAGAUGGUUGCUUCAGAUGUUGUUUUUCCGGUACUAAAACAUUGUCUCAAGGUAUCUUUUAAUUUAGGACAAAUUUAUAAUGAAACGAGCCUCAAUUCGGUUUUGGUGAUCUUACUUUACAUCUUUGACGUAUGAAACUUCCACUUUAAUGGAAAAAAUGUAAUUAGAAAUUUUUUGAUAAAAAAGCAGUGUAGAAUAUAUCUAUUUCAAACCAUUUUACAUCUUCAAAGAAAUGCUCUAAUACUACAAAAAAAACUACUAUCUUUUUCAUUUUUUUUUCAAAGGCACGAAAAGAAAACAUUGAUUAUUGUGAUAUUUUACAUCAAUGAAGGCAACUUCACGAUUGGACCUGCAAAGUGGCCAAA
RNAcentral lists this long non-coding RNA (475 nucleotides) under Malus domestica (apple). Its description in RNAcentral is "long non-coding RNA (MDOM_LNC009044)". The record is from RNAcentral. Lineage: Eukaryota; Viridiplantae; Streptophyta; Magnoliopsida; Rosales; Rosaceae.